AUACACUCCGGUAUUGGGCCUUGGGGUCAGGCUGCAGGCUCUGCAUCCGUGUCUUCACGGAAUCCACCGGGUACAUCACGCUGUGUUCCAUGAUCCCCGCCACCGCCCCGGCCAACAUGUGCGUGCCAAGCGAGGCUCCGCUGGGCAGACUCUCGUAAUCCUCACCCUCCAUCGGGGGGGGCACGGAAGGGGCAGCGAUCGGCCCUGGGGGCCCAGGCCCCGGGGGGGCCGCCGUGCUGCC
Molecule: long non-coding RNA, 241 nt
Filed under: Gallus gallus (chicken)
Lineage: Eukaryota; Metazoa; Chordata; Aves; Galliformes; Phasianidae
Source: RNAcentral